UUUUUGUAUUUUGUUAGUGUCGCACUGGUUCCCACUGGACGUCCAUGACACCCACAUGUUUUGUUCAGGAAGAUAAUCUCCAGGAGUGAACACCACCUCAUUAAAUGUGACCGCCAGAGUGAGUUACAGACAUUCGCUUGUCGUCCUGGUGCACCCCAAAAAAGACCAAAAUCAGGACGAAGGCCUUGAUCUCAUCUGCUCUCUCAUCUAAACUCUAAAGCGAGCGCGGGCGAGAAGCGGCUUCGUCUGAAAGCGCCUCUCCUCUCCGUUUGAAGUCUUUAUCUGAAGACGUCACGCUGAGCUUUGAAGUCUUCCCUCCCG
Long non-coding RNA from Cyclopterus lumpus (lumpfish), 321 nucleotides. RefSeq lists it as uncharacterized. The transcript has 3 exons. The record is from RefSeq and is a predicted model, not a curated record. Lineage: Eukaryota; Metazoa; Chordata; Actinopteri; Perciformes; Cyclopteridae.